AUGCUUUAGGAGGGGCUUGCGCCAUAUUAGUUAGUUGGUAGGGUAAUGGCCUACCAAGACGAUGAUGUGUAGCUGGACUGAGAGGUUGAACAGCCACAUUGGGACUGAGACACGGCCCAAACUCCUACGGGAGGCAGCAGUAGGGAAUUUUCGGCAAUGGAGGAAACUCUGACCGAGCAACGCCGCGUGAAUGACGAAGUACUUCGGUAUGUAAAGUUCUUUUAUCAAGGAAGAAAAGCAAAUGGCGAACCAUUUGUUUGCCGGUACUUGAUGAAUAAGCCCCGGCUAAUUAUGUGCCAGCAGCCGCGGUAAGACAUAAGGGGCAAGUGUUAUCCGGAAUUAUUGGGCGUAAAGGGUGCGUAGGCGGUCUAGUAAGUCAGUGGUGUAAUGGCAACGCUUAACGUUGUCCGGCUAUUGAAACUGCUAAACUUGAGUUAGAUAGAGGCGAGUGGAAUUCCAUGUGUAGCGGUAAAAUGCGUAAAUAUAUGGAGGAACACCAGAGGCGUAGGCGGCUCGCUGGGUCUUAACUGACGCUGAGGCACGAAAGCGUGGGGAGCAAACAGGAUUAGAUACCCUGGUAGUCCACGCCGUAAACGAUGAGUACUAAGUGUCGGGUUAAACCGGUACUGAAGUUAACACAUUAAGUACUCCGCCUGAGUAGUACGUACGCAAGUAUGAAACUUAAAGGAAUUGACGGGACUCCGCACAAGCGGUGGAUCAUGUUGUUUAAUUCGAAGAUACCCGAAAAACCUUACCAGGUCUUGACAUGUUUUUGCAAAAUGAUAGUAAUAUCGUGGGAGGUUACCAGAAACACAGGUGGUGCAUGGUUGUCGUCAGCUCGUGUCGUGAGAUGUUAGGUUAAGUCCUAAAACGAGCGAAACCCUUAUCGUUAGUUGCCAGCACGUUAUGGUGGGGACUUUAACGAGACUGCCAAUGAUAAAUUGGAGGAAGGUGAGGAUCACGUCAAAUCAGCAUGCCCCUUAUGACCUGGGCUACAAACGUGAUACAAUGGCUGUUACAAAGGGUAGCUGAAACGCAAGUUCUUGGCCAAUCCCCAAAAACAGUCCCAGUCCGGAUUGAAGUCUGCAACUCGACUUCAUGAAGUNGGAAUCGCUAGUAAUCG
Molecule: ribosomal RNA, 1123 nt
Filed under: 'Sesamum indicum' phyllody phytoplasma
Lineage: Bacteria; Bacillati; Mycoplasmatota; Mollicutes; Acholeplasmatales; Acholeplasmataceae
Description: bacterial SSU rRNA
Rfam family: Bacterial small subunit ribosomal RNA
Source: RNAcentral